CCUACGGGCGGACCAGGCGAGAAAACUUUGCAAUGUGCGAAAGCACGACAAGGUUAAUCCGAGUGGUUUGUGCUAAACGAACCUUUUGACAGUCCUAGAAACACUGUUGAAUAAGGGGUGGGCAAGUUCUGGUGUCAGCCGCCGCGGUAAAACCAGCACCUCAAGUGGUCAGGAUGAUUAUUGGGCCUAAAGCAUCCGUAGCCGGCUCUGUAAGUUUUCGGUUAAAUCUGUACGCUCAACGUACAGGCUGCCGGGAAUACUGCAGAGCUAGGGAGUGGGAGAGGUAGACGGUACUCGGUAGGAAGGGGUAAAAUCCUUUGAUCUAUUGAUGACCACCUGUGGCGAAGGCGGUCUACCAGAACACGUCCGACGGUGAGGGAUGAAAGCUGGGGGAGCAAACCGGAUUAGAUACCCGAGUAGUC
This 422-nucleotide ribosomal RNA is filed under the name uncultured archaeon. RNAcentral's name for it is "partial 16S ribosomal RNA". It matches the Rfam family "Archaeal small subunit ribosomal RNA", at positions 322 to 746 of the family's 1478-position model. The record is from RNAcentral.